Molecule: long non-coding RNA, 363 nt
Organism: Haliaeetus leucocephalus (bald eagle)
Lineage: Eukaryota; Metazoa; Chordata; Aves; Accipitriformes; Accipitridae
Exons: 3
Source: RefSeq, a predicted model, not a curated record
GAGGCGAACGCGACCGAGCUGAACCAAACGGAGCCAAACCAUGGACCCCCAGGACUGCACGUGUGCCGCCGGUGACUCCUGCUCCUGUGCCGGGUCCUGCAAGUGCAAGAACUGCCGCUGCCGGAGCUGUCGCAAGAGCUGCUGCUCCUGCUGCCCCGCAAGCUGCAGCAACUGUGCCAAGGGCUGCGUGUGCAAGGAGCCGGCUAGCAGCAAGUGCAGCUGCUGCCACUGAGCUGCUCACCUCUGCCUGUAAAUAGCCAGCAUGCUUCAGGGAUGGGGGGGUGGGGGGCACAAAAAAGCCUAUUUUUUCAUAUUUUGUAUCUUCUGUACCGGUAGUGAAACUGGAUGGAAAUAAAGGAGUUU